AAAGAGGUCACACCCGUUCCCAUGCCGAACACGGCCGUUAAGCUCUUUUGCGCCGAUGGUAGUUGGAGGCUUCCUCCUGCGAGAGUAGGACGUUGCCGGGC
This 101-nucleotide ribosomal RNA is filed under the name Shouchella clausii. Lineage: Bacteria; Bacillati; Bacillota; Bacilli; Caryophanales; Bacillaceae. The record is from RNAcentral.